GACGAACGCUGGCGGCGUGCUUAACACAUGCAAGUCGAACGGAAAGGCCCUGCUUUUGUGGGGUGCUCGAGUGGCGAACGGGUGAGUAACACGUGAGUAACCUGCCCUUGACUUUGGGAUAACUUCAGGAAACUGGGGCUAAUACCGGAUAGGAGCUCCUGCUGCAUGGUGGGGGUUGGAAAGUUUCGGCGGUUGGGGAUGGACUCGCGGCUUAUCAGCUUGUUGGUGGGGUAGUGGCUUACCAAGGCUUUGACGGGUAGCCGGCCUGAGAGGUGACCGGCCACAUUGGGACUGAGAGACGGCCCAGACUGCUACGGGAGGCAGCAGUGGGGAAUAUUGCACAAUGAGCGGAAGCCUGAUGCAGCAACGCCGCGUGCGGGAUGACGGCCUUCGGGUUGUAAACCGCUGUCGCCUGUGACGAAGCGUGAGUGACGGUAAUGGGUAAAGAAGCACCGGCUAACUACGUG
This 467-nucleotide ribosomal RNA is filed under the name uncultured bacterium. Its description in RNAcentral is "partial 16S ribosomal RNA". It matches the Rfam family "Bacterial small subunit ribosomal RNA", at positions 28 to 507 of the family's 1533-position model. The record is from RNAcentral.